This 73-nucleotide transfer RNA is filed under the name Lachnospiraceae bacterium. RNAcentral describes it as "tRNA-Glu". It matches the Rfam family "tRNA". From Rfam's summary of the family: Transfer RNA (tRNA) molecules are approximately 80 nucleotides in length. Their secondary structure includes four short double-helical elements and three loops (D, anti-codon, and T loops). The record is from RNAcentral. Lineage: Bacteria; Bacillati; Bacillota; Clostridia; Lachnospirales; Lachnospiraceae. RNAcentral also lists the same sequence under 1 other name.
UGCUCCAUCGUCUAAUGGUUUAGGAUACAAGACCCUCAAUCUUGUGAUGCGGGUUCAACUCCCGUUGGAGUAA